GGGUUGUGAGGUUAAGCGACUAAGCGUACACGGUGGAUGCCCUGGCAGUCAGAGGCGAUGAAGGACGUGCUAAUCUGCGAAAAGCGUCGGUAAGGUGAUAUGAACCGUUAUAGCCGGCGAUGUCCGAAUGGGGAAACCCAGUGCAAUUCGUUGCACUAUCGUUUGAUGAAUACAUAGUCAAACGAGGCGAACCGGGGGAACUGAAACAUCUAAGUACCCCGAGGAAAAGAAAUCAACCGAGAUUCCCCCAGUAGCGGCGAGCGAACGGGGAGCAGCCCGGAGUCUGAAUCAGCUUGUGUGUUAGUGGAAGCGUCUGGAAAGUCGCAGGGUACAGGGUGAUACUCCCGUACACUAAAGCACACAGGCUGUGAACUCGAAGAGUAGGGCGGGACACGUGGUAUCCUGUCUGAAUAUGGGGGGACCAUCCUCCAAGGCUAAAUACUCCUGACUGACCGAUAGUGAACCAGUACCGUGAGGGAAAGGCGAAAAGAACCCCGGCGAGGGGAGUGAAAAAGAACCUGAAACCGUGUACGUACAAGCAGUAGGAGCCUCUUUAUGGGGUGACUGCGUACCUUUUGUAUAAUGGGUCAGCGACUUAUAUUCUGUAGCAAGGUUAACCGUAUAGGGGAGCCGCAGGGAAACCGAGUCUUAACUGGGCGUUAAGUUGCAGGGUAUAGACCCGAAACCCGGUGAUCUAGCCAUGGGCAGGUUGAAGGUUGGGUAACACUAACUGGAGGACCGAACCGACUAAUGUUGAAAAAUUAGCGGAUGACUUGUGGCUGGGGGUGAAAGGCCAAUCAAACCGGGAGAUAGCUGGUUCUCCCCGAAAGCUAUUUAGGUAGCGCCUCGUGAACUCAUCUUCGGGGGUAGAGCACUGUUUCGGCUAGGGGGUCAUCCCGACUUACCAACCCGAUGCAAACUACGAAUACCGAAGAAUGUUAUCACGGGAGACACACGGCGGGUGCUAACGUCCGUCGUGAAGAGGGAAACAACCCAGACCGCCAGCUAAGGUCCCAAAGUCAUGGUUAAGUGGGAAACGAUGUGGGAAGGCCCAGACAGCCAGGAUGUUGGCUUAGAAGCAGCCAUCAUUUAAAGAAAGCGUAAUAGCUCACUGGUCGAGUCGGCCUGCGCGGAAGAUGUAACGGGGCUAAACCAUGCACCGAAGCUGCGGCAGCGACACUAUGUGUUGUUGGGUAGGGGAGCGUUCUGUAAGCCGUUGAAGGUGGCCUGUGAGGGUUGCUGGAGGUAUCAGAAGUGCGAAUGCUGACAUAAGUAACGAUAAUGCGGGUGAAAAACCCGCACGCCGGAAGACCAAGGGUUCCUGUCCAACGUUAAUCGGGGCAGGGUGAGUCGACCCCUAAGGCGAGGCCGAAAGGCGUAGUCGAUGGGAAACAGGUUAAUAUUCCUGUACUCGGUGUUACUGCGAAGGGGGGACGGAGAAGGCUAUGUUGGCCGGGCGACGGUUGUCCCGGUUUAAGCAUGUAGGCGGAUGUUCCAGGUAAAUCCGGAACGUUAUUAACGCUGAGGUGUGAUGACGAGGCACUACGGUGCUGAAGUGACAAAUGCCCUGCUUCCAGGAAAAGCCUCUAAGCAUCAGGUAACAUCAAAUCGUACCCCAAACCGACACAGGUGGUCAGGUAGAGAAUACCAAGGCGCUUGAGAGAACUCGGGUGAAGGAACUAGGCAAAAUGGUGCCGUAACUUCGGGAGAAGGCACGCUGAUACCAGGUGAAGUGGUUUACCCAUGGAGCUGAAAUCAGUCGAAGAUACCAGCUGGCUGCAACUGUUUAUUAAAAACACAGCACUGUGCAAACACGAAAGUGGACGUAUACGGUGUGACGCCUGCCCGGUGCCGGAAGGUUAAUUGAUGGGGUUAUCCGUAAGGAGAAGCUCUUGAUCGAAGCCCCGGUAAACGGCGGCCGUAACUAUAACGGUCCUAAGGUAGCGAAAUUCCUUGUCGGGUAAGUUCCGACCUGCACGAAUGGCGUAAUGAUGGCCAGGCUGUCUCCACCCGAGACUCAGUGAAAUUGAACUCGCUGUGAAGAUGCAGUGUACCCGCGGCAAGACGGAAAGACCCCGUGAACCUUUACUAUAGCUUGACACUGAACACUGGUCCUUGAUGUGUAGGAUAGGUGGGAGGCUUUGAAGUGUGGACGCCAGUCUGCAUGGAGCCAUCCUUGAAAUACCACCCUUUAAUGGCUGGUGUUCUAACGUGGGCCCGUUAUCCGGGUUGCGGACAGUGUCUGGUGGGUAGUUUGACUGGGGCGGUCUCCUCCUAAAGAGUAACGGAGGAGCACGAAGGUCAGCUAAUCCUGGUCGGACAUCAGGAGGUUAGUGCAAUGGCAUAAGCUGGCUUGACUGCGAGCGUGACGGCGCGAGCAGGUGCGAAAGCAGGUCAUAGUGAUCCGGUGGUUCUGAAUGGAAGGGCCAUCGCUCAACGGAUAAAAGGUACUCCGGGGAUAACAGGCUGAUACCGCCCAAGAGUUCAUAUCGACGGCGGUGUUUGGCACCUCGAUGUCGGCUCAUCACAUCCUGGGGCUGAAGUAGGUCCCAAGGGUAUGGCUGUUCGCCAUUUAAAGUGGUACGCGAGCUGGGUUUAGAACGUCGUGAGACAGUUCGGUCCCUAUCUGCCGUGGGCGCUGGAGAAUUGAGGGGGGCUGCUCCUAGUACGAGAGGACCGGAGUGGACGCAUCACUGGUGUUCGGGUUGUCAUGCCAAUGGCAUUGCCCGGUAGCUAAAUGCGGAAGAGAUAAGUGCUGAAAGCAUCUAAGCACGAAACUUGCCCCGAGAUGAGUUCUCCCUGACCCUUUAAGGGUCCUGAAGGAACGUUGAAGACGACGACGUUGAUAGGCCGGGUGUGUAAGCGCAGCGAUGCGUUGAGCUAACCGGUACUAAUGAACCGUGAGGCUUAACCUUACAACGCCGAAG
Molecule: ribosomal RNA, 2927 nt
Filed under: Klebsiella grimontii
Lineage: Bacteria; Pseudomonadati; Pseudomonadota; Gammaproteobacteria; Enterobacterales; Enterobacteriaceae
Description: 23S ribosomal RNA
Rfam family: Bacterial large subunit ribosomal RNA
Source: RNAcentral